RNAcentral lists this ribosomal RNA (468 nucleotides) under uncultured bacterium. RNAcentral's name for it is "partial 16S ribosomal RNA". It matches the Rfam family "Bacterial small subunit ribosomal RNA", at positions 28 to 507 of the family's 1533-position model. The record is from RNAcentral.
GAUGAACGCUGGCGGCGUGCUUAACACAUGCAAGUCGAACGGAAAGGCCCAAGCUUGCUUGGGUACUCGAGUGGCGAACGGGUGAGUAACACGUGGGUGAUCUGCCCUGCACUUCGGGAUAAGCCUGGGAAACUGGGUCUAAUACCGGAUAGGACCACGUCUUGGAUGUUGUGGUGGAAAGUUUUUUCGGUGUGGGAUGAGCUCGCGGCCUAUCAGCUUGUUGGUGGGGUAAUGGCCUACCAAGGCGUCGACGGGUAGCCGGCCUGAGAGGGUGUACGGCCACAUUGGGACUGAGAUACGGCCCAGACUCCUACGGGAGGCAGAAGUGGGGAAUAUUGCACAAUGGGCGCAAGCCUGAUGCAGCGACGCCGCGUGGGGGAUGACGGCCUUCGGGUUGUAAACUCCUUUCGCUAGGGACGAAGCGUUUUUGUGACGGUACCUGGAGAAGAAGCACCGGCUAACUACGUG